AAUGUAGUCUUAUGCAAUACUCCUGUAGUCUUGCAACAUGCUUAUGUAACGAUGAGUUAGCAAUAUGCCUUACAAGGAAAGAAAAGGCACCGUGCAUGCCGAUUGGUGGUAGUAAGGUGGUACGAUCGUGCCUUAUUAGGAAGGUAUCAGACGGGUCUAACAUGGAUUGGACGAACCACUGAAUUCCGCAUCGCAGAGAUAUUGUAUUUAAGUGCCUAGCUCGAUACAAUAAACGCCAUUUUACCAUCCACCACAUUGGUGUGCACCUGGGUUGAUGGCCGGACCGUCGAUUCCCUAACGAUUGCGAACACCUGAAUGAAGCAGAAGGCUUCAUUUGGUGACCCCGACGUGAUGGUUAGGGAAUAGUGGUCGGCCACAGACGGCGUGGCGAUCCUGCCCUCAUCCGUCUCGCUUAUUCGGGGAGCGGACGAUGACCCUAGUAGAGGGGGCUGCGGCUUAGGAGGGCAGAAGCUGAGUGGCGUCGGAGGGAGCUCUACUGCAGGGAGCCCAGAUACCCUACCGAGAACUCAGAGAGUCGUUGGAAGACGGGAAGGAAGCCCGACGACUGAGCAGUCCACCCCAGGCGUGAUUCUGGUCGCCCGGUGGAUCAAGCAUGGAAGCCGUCAUAAAGGAGCUGAGCUGACUCUGCUGGUGGCCUCGCGUACCACUGUGGCCAGGCGGUAGCUGGGACGUGCAGCCCACCACCAUGGGGAGCAGCAAGAGCAAGCCCAAGGACCCCAGCCAGCGCCGGCGCAGCCUGGAGCCACCCGACAGCACCCACCACGGGGGAUUCCCAGCCUCGCAGACCCCCAACAAGACAGCAGCCCCCGACACGCACCGCACCCCCAGCCGCUCCUUUGGGACCGUGGCCACCGAGCCCAAGCUCUUCGGGGGCUUCAACACUUCUGACACCGUCACGUCGCCGCAGCGUGCCGGGGCACUGGCUGGCGGCGUCACCACUUUCGUGGCUCUCUAUGACUACGAGUCCCGGACUGAAACGGACUUGUCCUUCAAGAAAGGAGAACGCCUGCAGAUUGUCAACAACACGGAAGGUGACUGGUGGCUGGCUCAUUCCCUCACUACAGGACAGACGGGCUACAUCCCCAGUAACUAUGUCGCGCCCUCAGACUCCAUCCAGGCUGAAGAGUGGUACUUUGGGAAGAUCACUCGUCGGGAGUCCGAGCGGCUGCUGCUCAACCCCGAAAACCCCCGGGGAACCUUCUUGGUCCGGGAGAGCGAGACGACAAAAGGUGCCUAUUGCCUCUCCGUUUCUGACUUUGACAACGCCAAGGGGCUCAAUGUGAAGCACUACAAGAUCCGCAAGCUGGACAGCGGCGGCUUCUACAUCACCUCACGCACACAGUUCAGCAGCCUGCAGCAGCUGGUGGCCUACUACUCCAAACAUGCUGAUGGCUUGUGCCACCGCCUGACCAACGUCUGCCCCACGUCCAAGCCCCAGACCCAGGGACUCGCCAAGGACGCGUGGGAAAUCCCCCGGGAGUCGCUGCGGCUGGAGGUGAAGCUGGGGCAGGGCUGCUUUGGAGAGGUCUGGAUGGGGACCUGGAACGGCACCACCAGAGUGGCCAUAAAGACUCUGAAGCCCGGCACCAUGUCCCCGGAGGCCUUCCUGCAGGAAGCCCAAGUGAUGAAGAAGCUCCGGCAUGAGAAGCUGGUUCAGCUGUACGCAGUGGUGUCGGAAGAGCCCAUCUACAUCGUCACUGAGUACAUGAGCAAGGGGAGCCUCCUGGAUUUCCUGAAGGGAGAGAUGGGCAAGUACCUGCGGCUGCCACAGCUCGUCGAUAUGGCUGCUCAGAUUGCAUCCGGCAUGGCCUAUGUGGAGAGGAUGAACUACGUGCACCGAGACCUGCGGGCGGCCAACAUCCUGGUGGGGGAGAACCUGGUGUGCAAGGUGGCUGACUUUGGGCUGGCACGCCUCAUCGAGGACAACGAGUACACAGCACGGCAAGGUGCCAAGUUCCCCAUCAAGUGGACAGCCCCCGAGGCAGCCCUCUAUGGCCGGUUCACCAUCAAGUCGGAUGUCUGGUCCUUCGGCAUCCUGCUGACUGAGCUGACCACCAAGGGCCGGGUGCCAUACCCAGGGAUGGUCAACAGGGAGGUGCUGGACCAGGUGGAGAGGGGCUACCGCAUGCCCUGCCCGCCCGAGUGCCCCGAGUCGCUGCAUGACCUCAUGUGCCAGUGCUGGCGGAAGGACCCUGAGGAGCGGCCCACUUUUGAGUACCUGCAGGCCUUCCUGGAGGACUACUUCACCUCGACAGAGCCCCCAGUACCAGCCUGGAGAGAACCUAUAGGCCUGGAGCUCCUCCUGGCACCAGAGGCCUCGCUGUGGGGCACAGGGGCCUGGCUCCGUGCAGAGGGGCCACGUUUUGGGGAGCAGCCCCAGAGCAGGAUGUGGCAUGGUGAGGUGUCGGGUGCUCCAUCGCUCAUUAAAACUGUGCUGGGCCACCCUUAAUGAGGUGGCGAGAGGAGCCCCGGGCACUGCCACCAGCGGAGCUGGGGCUCAGGAUGGCAAAUGGAGCAGCAGGACGGCUCCUGGCACAGCCACGGCUUUCAGGACCCUCUUCUCACAGCAGCCAGAGAAAUUGGGGGACAACCCCUCCCACCUCAGACACACUGCCCCACACCUCCUGCACCCCCUUUUUUAAAUCAGCACAAAUUUCUUCACCCAUUCACCCCCCCACUUCGCUCUGGUCUGCCCGAGGCCGUUUGCAGAGACGUUUGGCGAUGCGGAAGGCACUGCUUUGGAUCGGAUGCAGCUGGAGAGCAGACCUUGGGAUGCCCCAUGGAGGCUGAUGGUCUCCCUUCCUCCGGCACCUGCCCGUCCUCGGGCGCAGGGCUCAGUGUUUUAGGGAACUACUUGUCUUUCAGCGCUGCUUUUGUCCACCGGAGUGUUUCUAGCCACCAUCCCCCCCGCUUCUGCCAUCCCCUUAUCAGGGAGCACGGAGCCACCGCGAGCCGUUUGCAGGCCCAGCUGCUCCCUGCUUGUGUGUUGGAGGUCGGAGUGAUCCAUGCACAUCCCGGUGCCCGCAGCAGCUCCCAUUGAGCACCCCUGUACAUAGUCCUCCAGCACCUCCCGCUACCUGACCAAGCUGCAUGUGCUGUCGUGUUCCUCCUGUGGUACCGCCGCCAUCUGUCCUUGUUUGUCCCCAGUUGGAGCCCCGCAUCACACCAUCCCCACCUGUGUCCUGGACCUCUUAUCCAUCACUCACACCCGGUGCCAAAAACACCUCCGGAGAACCAGGCUGCGCAAGCCUUAAGAGAAAUUGAGAGACUAGCCUGUUGGUCCGUUAAACAGGCUAACUUGACAACAUCACUCCUCGGGGACUUAUUGGAUGAUGUCACGAGUAUUCGACACGCGGUCCUGCAGAACCGAGCGGCUAUUGACUUCUUGCUUCUAGCUCACGGCCAUGGCUGUGAGGACGUUGCCGGAAUGUGUUGUUUCAAUCUGAGUGAUCACAGUGAAUCUAUACAGAAGAAGUUCCAGCUAAUGAAGAAACAUGUCAAUAAGAUCGGCGUGGACAGCGACCCAAUCGGAAGUUGGCUGCGAGGGAUAUUCGGGGGAAUAGGGGAAUGGGCCGUUCAUCUGCUAAAAGGACUGCUUUUGGGGCUUGUAGUUAUUUUAUUGCUAGUAGUGUGCCUGCCCUGCCUUUUACAAUUUGUGUCUAGUAGUAUUCGAAAGAUGAUUAAUAGUUCAAUCAACUAUCAUACUGAAUACAGGAAGAUGCAGGGCGGAGCAGUCUAGAGCUCAGUUAUAAUAAUCCUGCGAAUCGGGCUGUAACGGGGCAAGGCUUGACCGAGGGGACUAUAACAUGUAUAGGCGAAAAGCGGGGUCUCGGUUGUAACGCGCUUAGGAAGUCCCCUCGAGGUAUGGCAGAUAUGCUCUUGCACGGGUCAGGUAUAAUGUGCAGUUUGACUGAGGGGACCAUGAUGUGUAUAGGCGUCAAGCGGGGCUUCGGUUGUACGCGGAUAGGAAUCCCCUCAGGACAAUUCUGCUUGGAAUAUGAUGGCGUCUUCCCUGUUUUGCCCUUAGACUAUUCAGGUUGCCUCUGUGGAUUAGGGCUGGAGGCAGCACGGAUAGUCUGAUGGCCAAAUAAGGCAGGCAAGACAGCUAUUUGUAACUGCGAAAUACGCUUUUGCAUAGGGAGGGGGAAAUGUAGUCUUAUGCAAUACUCCUGUAGUCUUGCAACAUGCUUAUGUAACGAUGAGUUAGCAAUAUGCCUUACAAGGAAAGAAAAGGCACCGUGCAUGCCGAUUGGUGGUAGUAAGGUGGUACGAUCGUGCCUUAUUAGGAAGGUAUCAGACGGGUCUAACAUGGAUUGGACGAACCACUGAAUUCCGCAUCGCAGAGAUAUUGUAUUUAAGUGCCUAGCUCGAUACAAUAAACGCCAUUUUACCAUUCACCACAUUGGUGUGCACCUGGGUAGAUGGACAGACCGUUGAGUCCCUAACGAUUGCGAACACCUGAAUGAAGCAGAAGGCUUCAUU
Molecule: unclassified non-coding RNA, 4503 nt
Filed under: Avian sarcoma virus
Lineage: Riboviria; Pararnavirae; Artverviricota; Revtraviricetes; Ortervirales; Retroviridae
Description: partial miscellaneous RNA
Rfam family: Rous sarcoma virus (RSV) primer binding site (PBS) (bases 290-364)
Source: RNAcentral